ACUACAGUAAACGAAGAAAGUUCCGACGGUCACGCUAUCUCCGACGGCUUCCUACGAGGCCGUCGGAUAUUAUCUUAUGUCCGACGGCCAACAGGGGCUCUCGGACAUAAAGACUUAUGUCCGACGGCUAGUCACGAGGCCGUCGGACAUAAGCUUAUAUCCGACGGCCGCGUGACUAGCCGUCGGACAUAAGGUUUUUUAACACACGGACCGUCCCGGCGCGGUUCAUUUUCACGCGCGCGCGCUCGCUUCUCGCUUCUCUCUCUCUGCCCGCUCACCGCCGCCUCCGUCGACGCUCGCCGCCGCCGCCGUCGAGGCCCGCCGCCCCGCCGCCCGGCCACCCGCCGCCCCGCCGCCGCCGUCGACGCUCGCCGCCGCCGCCGUCGAGGCCCGCCGCCCCGCCGCCCGGCCACCCGCCGCCCCGCCGCGGCCGUCCGCCGCCCCGCCGCGGCCGCCCGCCGCCCGCCGCCCGCCGCCCCGCCGUCGGCCGCCACGCACAGCCCGCCGUCGACGCCCGCCCCGCCCGCCCGCCGUAAGGUAUUAAUGUAUUAUUAAUAUUUUGUAUAUAUUAAUAUUGUUUUGUAGUUUAUUUUAUUAUAUCCGAGGGCCUAAAUUUAAUUAGUGGUGCUUAGAUAAUUUUAAUUUUUAAUUUCCGACGGUAAUUAUUAUGCCCUCGGAAUUAAGGUCAGUUUAUAUGAUUUGUCACCCGUAAUAAUGUUAUGUAGUGGUGUCUAUAUAAUUUAAACUCUUAAUUUCCGAGGGUAAUUAUUAAGCCCUCGGAAAUAAGGUUGUUUUAUUUGAUUUAGGUUCCCGUGAAAUGAUUUUUUGUAGUGCUAUUGUAUUAGUUUGGUUAAUUAGUGGCUAUUGUAUUAGUGUGGUUAAUUAGUAAUCAUAACUAAUUAAGUUAACGAAACCUAGACGUCACCCGUUUCGGCCCAACACACCUUACAUGCGACGCAUGUGAGGUAUGUUGGGCCGGAAUUGUCCCUUUAUUGGACAGCCUCGGGGUGACCGACAGAGUCCGUGUUUAUGACAAAGGCAUGUGCUCCUGCUUAGUUUCGGCAGCAUAACCCCUGUGUUCUCCAAUUGCACCAUUUUUAGGCGUGCGAUUGGAGAACAGCGGGGUUAUGCUGCCGAAAUUUCGCACGACCACAUGUCUUGUCAUAAAUACGGGCUCGUCGGUCACGCUUGGGUGGGUUUAGGACCUAUCAUUUCCUACAGAUGUAGGGGCGUGAUUUCUUCGUAAAAACGGAUUGUCCGUGCAUUACUUAUCUAAUUAAGUUAACGUCUCGUAUCUAGUAUGGAGGAGAAUCGUCGAUGGAUGUAUGAAGGUUGGAAGAAAAGAGGUGCUCUAUCAAGUGAGUGGGUUGCCAAGACUGAUGCUUUUCUCGACCAUGCUUUUGCUCGGUCAGAGACUGGAACCGAUGUUAGGUGCCCUUGUAGCAAGUGUCGGAACAUUAAUUUCCUUGACAGGAGGACUAUGUCUAUACAUAUUUGCAAGAACGGUUAUAUGCCAGGCUAUGAGGUGUGGGUGCACCACGGUGAGGACCCACCUCCUCGUACUGUAUCGAAAGUUCAGUCACAUGAAGAGGAGGACUACGAUAGGAUGGAAGAGAUGCUUGACGAUGUACGCCAUGAGCUUCUAAUCGUCGAUUCGGAGAACCCCGGUCAACCCACCGAGUUUGAGGAUCCAGCUACACCUGAGGUUCAGAAGUUCUUCGAGCUCCUUAAAGCUGCCGAAGAGCCAUUGCAUGAGCACACAAAAGUGACCGUCCUUGUAUUUGUGACUCGACUUAUGGCUAUUAAGUCUAAGUUUGCAUUCUCAAACAACUGUUACAAGGAACUUUUGAACUUGAUCAGUGAUGUACUUCCGGAGAAUCACAAGAUGCCAAAGGACAUGUAUCAGUCUAAAAAGCUGUUAUCUGGCCUCGGUAUGGACUACGAAAAAAUCGAUGUCUGUGAAAAUAAUUGUAUGCUUUUCUGGAAGGAGACCGCAGGUGAGAAGGAGUGUACUGUAUGUGGUGAGCGUAGAUUCGUUGAGGUUGAAAACGACGAUGGUUUGACCGUGACUACGAAGAUUGCACGUAAGCAGCUUCGUUACAUGCCUCUUAUACCUCGGUUGAAACGUUUGUUCAUCUCCAAGAAUACAGCCAGACACAUGAGGUGGCACAAAGAAGGGGUACGUGAGAAUCGAAAUGUCAUGGUGCACCCAGCUGAUACAGAUGCAUGGAAGGCACUAGAUGCUUUUGAUUCCAGCUUUGCUGAUGAAGUGAGGAAUGUUCGCUUCGGUUUGGCAACAGAUGGUUUCUCGCCAUUCAAUCUAACUGCAACGUCGUACUCAUGUUGGCCCGUCUUUGCUGUUCCAUACAACCUUCCACCAGCUCUUUGCUUGGGACGAGGAGUAGCUCGAGGAGCAGCUCGAGGGGUGAGGAUUCAGUUUUUCAGGGCUCAGGUUCUACCAUGAGCAGACGGAGAGCGCUGGCAGAACAUUUGCCUCCACAAGAUGUAAGUUAGUUGUUAAAUUACAUUAUUUGAGUUACUUAAUAUUGUAUGAUGUACGGUAUUUGUUUCAUAGGAUGCUGAAAUUGAGGAACCAGUGGUAGAGGAUCAUGCAAGAGAUGAUGUUGAAGAUGAUGGUGGAGAUGAUGGUGGAGAUGAUGCUGGAGACGAUGCUGGGGAUUCUGGGGCUGGUGGAGAUUCCGCAGCUGGGUCUGGAACUUCUCGAGUUAGGAGAAUGAGGAAGCUGCAUUUUGUUGGACCACCUCCAGAGCUUCCACCCGAAUCUCGGGUUUUGAUAAAGCCUAGUGGAAAGUGAGUGACAUGUCUUUGCUUAAAUGUUAUUGAAAGUUAUGUUUUAAUUUCCACAUUGUGUAUACUAUUUCCAGGUCUUGGAUCGACGACUCGUUCACAGGCACAGGACACUACAGGCAGGUGAACAUGGUGCUUGGUAAUCUUGUUCGUCUGCACUGGCCUGGUGUUGUGACUUUGCCUACUGGCGAGUCUGUCCCCGCCACCACUUGGGAGCAUUAUCGCUAUGGUGUCUGUAGAACGUUUGGCAACACACAGGCACUAGUUUGGGAUGCAUUCUGGGUAUGAAUUAUUUAUACUAUUUUAGUUAUUCCAUACAUGUUUGCUUUUAUGAUAACACUAAUUUUUUUUGCAGAAACGGUACAAGUUGCCGGACGAUGGAUCAUAUGAUAUGAACGCUCGUUACGUGUUUGAGUAUAACGCGAACGAUGUCGUUGCAGAUGCAAUGUACUAUGCACGAAUUCAGGCUAUAAAGGCAUGGUACAGAGCAAAUGCUGAUGAUCGACCGAUGCCAAAUACCAAGGCCGAGUGGUCAUCAAUUUACUUGACGGAGGAGCAAUACCUAGAGGUAAACAGGUUCUUGCCUCUCAAAUCGCACGAAGCCAUGUAUUUGCUUGCUUUAUUUAAAAAAUUUCAUGUAGGUGUCGGUGCCGUGGAUGGCCACCCGAUCGGAGGGUUAUCGGGCAUUGUGCAGAUGGUGGGCUUCCCCUGAGUUUCGUGCCAUUUCCGAAAGGAACAGGGGAAACCGUGGGACCGAGUCGUUCCACAACUACGGUGGUGAUGGUCAUGUGCGCUUGGCUAAGCGAAUGGUAAGUCACAGUUUGUUGUAACUUUUGAAUUACAUAGAAAUGUGUCAUUGUAACUUUUAUGUACAGGAAGUCAAAUUCGGUCGUACGCCCACGGAUGUGGAGGUGUAUAUGCAAGGGCAUAGGGGUUCUGAUCCUCAGAAUCCUGAUGUGUUAUGCACUCAGACGGCCACCGACCGUCUAGUGAGUUUUUGAUACUCUAUUAUGUGUUUGAUAUUGUUUGCAAUGGCAUAUAUAGGGGUUAUGCACUUAUAUUUGAUAUUGUUUGCCUCCAGGCUUCGUAUGGGGAGGAGAUGGUUCAACGCCAUGGGCAGGAGUACGAUUGGAGGAGCCAGCCAAUCGACCCUCAGGCAGCAUAUGCUAGCGGAGGAGGACAAGCCCACGGACGGUGAGAUUAUUUAAUUUGGAUUACAAAAUUGGCAUCAUAUGCUUGCGAUUCAACUGAGGCAUGAGUUACUAUACUAAGUGCAUGGUUCACUCUUGUAGGUUGGGUAUUUUUGAUUCUACGAUUGAUUCCAGAGAGCUAAGACGCCGUGGACGACAGUCCACAUCGUCGUCUUCACAGUCGUCCCGUUCACGAUCAUCCGCCCACGACAUGGAGAUGGCAGUGUUGCGUCAACAGGCAGAGUACCAUCAAUCAGUCUUGAGGGAACAAUUGGAGUACCAGAGGCAACAAUCUGAGUACCAGAGGCAACAAGCCGAGUACCAGAAGAAGAGGGACGAGUAUUAUGCAAACCUCCAGGCCCAAAAUCAAGCUCUUCUCUCGGUAAGCUGAAGUAACAUUUUGUAGCUUAUUUUGCAAAACACUUGAUGUGUAUCUUAUUAGCUCAACAAUGACUUGUAUAUAAUUUGUAGCAACUAGCCCAACAAGCGGGCGUCCCGAUGCCGACAUAUGGGAUGCCGCCUCCGGAGUUUGCACUGCCAAUGCCAAUGUUGGCGCCUCCACCACCGCCUCCGCCUCCGUCACAAUUCCCUAUGGUAUGUACACAUAUGCGUGUGUGACAUGUUCAUAGAUGUCUUAUGUGUUUAAAUGAACAACUGAGUGGUUACUAUUUCAUGUGCUUGUGUUAUAGGGAUUUCAGACACCACCCGCUUCAGUUGCCGCACCUGGAGAUGGGUCUGGUCAGGACGACCCAACACAUUCGUGGGUGAACAAUCUUUUCAGCACGCAUAGUCCAGCCGGAGGAGGUGGCGAUGGAUAUGAGUGAUACUGAUGUAAAACACUUGUUGAAACCUUUCAUGUGAAAGCCUACCCGUCGAAUAAUGUUCAUUUUGGAGUUUGGACAACUAUGUUUAUGUAAACACUUAUUGCAACCAUUUGGAACUAUGUUGUUAUGUUAAAUUUUGUGAAUGUGAAUGCUUAUGUGAUUAUAUUUGUGAAUGUGUAUACUUAUGUGAGUAUAUUUGUUAAUGUGAAUGUGUAUAUGUGUAUGAAUUCUGUUUUGUAUUUGCAAAUGUCAGAUU
RNAcentral lists this long non-coding RNA (5078 nucleotides) under Zea mays. RNAcentral describes it as "long non-coding RNA (ZMAY_LNC003883)". Lineage: Eukaryota; Viridiplantae; Streptophyta; Magnoliopsida; Poales; Poaceae. The record is from RNAcentral.